Molecule: ribosomal RNA, 317 nt
Filed under: uncultured bacterium
Lineage: Bacteria
Description: bacterial SSU rRNA
Rfam family: Bacterial small subunit ribosomal RNA
Source: RNAcentral
GACGAACGCUGGCGGCGUGCCUAAUACAUGCAAGUAGAACGCUGAGGACUGGUGCUUGCACUGGUCUAAGGAGUUGCGAACGGGUGAGUAACGCGUAGGUAACCUACCUCAUAGCGGGGGAUAACACCUGGAAACAGAUGCUAAUACCGGAUAACAACACUAGACGCAUGUCUAGAGUUUGAAAGAUGGUUCUGCUAUCACUCUUGGAUGGACCUGCGGUGCAUUAGCUAGUUGGUAAGGUAACGGCUUACCAAGGCAAUGAUGCAUAGCCGAGUUGAGAGACUGAUCGGCCACAUUGGGACUGAGACACGGCCCAA